CAAUAUUUACACAUUAAUUCUUCAAUAUAUUUUACAAAUUAAUUAAGAUGGCCUCAUUUAAGCAAACUUUUCUCUUUAUUGCUCUCUUUGUUGCAAUUUUAGUUAAUCUCUCUUGGGCUCCAAAUAAGAUGCAAGUGAUGGCAUUUCGAGAUUUGCCUAUUGAAUUUGCUGCAAUGAAAGGAAAAUUACUUCGACUUGGUGAUAUUUCUAAUUGCGGGAGUCCUUGCAAGAGUCGUAGCGAUUGCAAAGAAGGUGUUAUUUGUUCAAAUUGUGUUUCACUUGGGGCUCUAUUUUCUCAAUGCAUGUAAUAUAAGCGCACUAUUACUGGUGAAAUAUCCUUGAGCGUGCAAUGGAUGAACUAUUAAUUGCUUAAUAUAUGUCUUUAUAUUAAUUCAAGCAUUUUAAAUAAUGUUGUAUUUUUAAAGUUUGUGUAAGAAAAUAAAUAUGUAACCUUAUUAGUUUUCCAUAUAUUGGGAAACUACCUACUCGAAUAGGUUGGGACUUAAAUACAUGUAUAUGUUGGUCGUUUGUCUUUAUUUUAUGUGCAAUUCAUUAUUUAUUGAGGUAAUAAUAAAAAUUAUAGCAUACUUUAGUUA
This is a long non-coding RNA of Solanum stenotomum, 596 nucleotides long. RefSeq lists it as uncharacterized. The transcript has 2 exons. The record is from RefSeq and is a predicted model, not a curated record. NCBI's taxonomy places the organism in Eukaryota, Viridiplantae, Streptophyta, Magnoliopsida, Solanales, Solanaceae.